CCAAGUUGGAACUGGCUCCACCUCAGAAGACUCUGCUGGAUCAGCAGGAAUGAUCGGUGGCUGAUCAUUGUAUUGGGUUCGUCAUCUCCUAAUCCAAUAAGCCUUGGUCUCUUGCUUCAACAGUCCACGCACGGCCCUCUUCAUCAGUCUCCCGUCUUGCCUCCUGGAUCAUGACA
Long non-coding RNA from Hibiscus syriacus, 176 nucleotides. RefSeq lists it as uncharacterized. Lineage: Eukaryota; Viridiplantae; Streptophyta; Magnoliopsida; Malvales; Malvaceae. The record is from RefSeq and is a predicted model, not a curated record. The transcript has 3 exons.